CCUACGGGAGGCAGCAGUGGGGAAUCUUGGACAAUGGGCGCAAGCCUGAUCCAGCCAUGCCGCGUGAGUGAUGAAGGCCUUAGGGUCGUAAAGCUCUUUCGCCAGAGAUGAUAAUGACAGUAUCUGGUAAAGAAACCCCGGCUAACUCCGUGCCAGCAGCCGCGGUAAUACGGAGGGGGUUAGCGUUGUUCGGAAUUACUGGGCGUAAAGCGCACGUAGGCGGAUCAGAAAGUAUAGGGUGAAAUCCCAGGGCUCAACCCUGGAACUGCCUUAUAAACUCCUGGUCUUGAGUUCGAGAGAGGUAAGUGGAAUUCCGAGUGUAGAGGUGAAAUUCGUAGAUAUUCGGAGGAACACCAGUGGCGAAGGCGGCUUACUGGCUCGAUACUGACGCUGAGGUGCGAAAGUGUGGGGAGCAAACAGGAUUAGAUACCCCGGUAGUC
Molecule: ribosomal RNA, 440 nt
Filed under: uncultured bacterium
Lineage: Bacteria
Description: bacterial SSU rRNA
Rfam family: Bacterial small subunit ribosomal RNA
Source: RNAcentral